This 209-nucleotide unclassified non-coding RNA is filed under the name plant metagenome. RNAcentral's name for it is "partial contains small subunit ribosomal RNA, internal transcribed spacer 1, and 5.8S ribosomal RNA". The record is from RNAcentral.
UCUCCGUUGGUGAACCAGCGGAGGGAUCAUUACUGGAAUCGCAAGAUCCCACAACCCUGUGAACCUACCGAAACGUUGCCUCGGCGGGUGCCCGGCCUCUGCGCCGGGCGCUGCGCCCGCCGGCGGCCCCCUACUCUGUCACUGCAGCGUGGCAUCUCAGAGUCCCAGAAAACAAGUCAAAACUUUCAACAACGGAUCUCUUGGCUCUA